This 941-nucleotide long non-coding RNA is filed under the name Setaria viridis. RNAcentral's name for it is "long non-coding RNA (SVIR_LNC002259)". The record is from RNAcentral. Lineage: Eukaryota; Viridiplantae; Streptophyta; Magnoliopsida; Poales; Poaceae.
CCGGUGUGGCGUCGGCGCUGCAUCGGGCGGGGCAGGCCGGGCCAAGCUGGGUCGUGUGGUGUUGGGCCGCAGGAGGGAGGAGCUGGCUGGGCAGGCGUGGGAGAGGCAGGCCGGGCCUGAAAGGGAGCUGGGCCAGCGGGAUGUUGGGCUGGCGUCACGUGGGGAAGCAGCUAGAGCAGUCUGGGCCGAAAGAGAAGAUGGCUCGGAAGGGAAGUUGUCGGCCUGCUAGGGGUUUUAGGGAUUUUUCUUAUUUGUUUGAUUGGGGUUUAGUAGCCAUUUCAAAUUUGACUAGGGUUUGAGAUUUGGGUUGGGAUAGGGUACGAGGGGAAGGCAUUUGGAAGAAUUUUGGGUUUGGGUAAGGUAGAAAGGACUAGUAUUGAGUGGAGCCUUAUAGGGUUUUUUAAUAGAGUUAAUAUUCAAAUUGGGUUUGAAUAUUAAUUCCAGAAUUUGAGAACGAAGGGUUUUGGAAGUUCUAUCUCUAGGAUUUCGAGAGUUAGACUUGGGAUAGAUUUUCUAAGGAGAGCAACCAAAUGCAACACAUAUGCUCAUGUUUAUGCAAGAUUUAUUUGAAAAAAAAAGAGUUUUGAAUAUUCGGGAGAAGAGAAGGUGGGUUUAGUUUAAAGAAAAUUUUUAAAAAUUUUGUAUUUUUAAAUGCUCUAAAAAAAUGGGAUGUUACAUAUCCCAUGAUAUCUGGCUGAAAUCUAUUCACCCGACAUCUUGUCUUGCGCUCCAAAUAGCUCCAUACUUUGUCCCGUACUAGUCAGGUAGUAGUAUGGUUGGUGGGGACUCCUGGAUACUCAUGUCUCUUAGUAUAUUCCACUAUAAAAAAAACUUAACAGCUGAGCUACUUUCAGUUUGUAUGGUACAAUAUUUUUCAAGAAAUAUAAUGCAAUUAUUUUUAAAGAAAGAACAAAAUCUUUUUUUUGAAAAUACAAAAUCUU